GCCGUUGUAGCUUAGUUGGUAGAGCAGCGGAUUCGUAACCCGAAGGUCGGCAGUUCGAUUCUGCCCAAUGGCACCA
This 76-nucleotide transfer RNA is filed under the name Clostridium sp. Its description in RNAcentral is "tRNA-Thr". It matches the Rfam family "tRNA". From Rfam's summary of the family: Transfer RNA (tRNA) molecules are approximately 80 nucleotides in length. Their secondary structure includes four short double-helical elements and three loops (D, anti-codon, and T loops). Further hydrogen bonds mediate the characteristic L-shaped molecular structure. tRNAs have two regions of fundamental functional importance: the anti-codon, which is responsible for specific mRNA codon recognition, and the 3' end, to which the tRNAs corresponding amino acid is attached (by aminoacyl-tRNA synthetases). tRNAs cope with the degeneracy of the genetic code in two manners: having more than one tRNA (with a specific anti-codon) for a particular amino acid; and 'wobble' base-pairing, i.e. permitting non-standard base-pairing at the 3rd anti-codon position. Lineage: Bacteria; Bacillati; Bacillota; Clostridia; Eubacteriales; Clostridiaceae. The record is from RNAcentral. RNAcentral also lists the same sequence under 4 other names.